GACGAACGCUGGCGGCGUGCCUAAUACAUGCAAGUCGAACGCACAGUUUAUACCGUAGCUUGCUACACCAUAGACUGUGAGUUGCGAACGGGUGAGUAACGCGUAGGUAACCUGCCUGGUAGUGGGGGAUAACUAUUGGAAACGAUAGCUAAUACCGCAUAAUAUUAAUUAUUGCAUGAUAAUUAAUUGAAAGGUGCAAUUGCACCACUACCAGAUGGACCUGCGUUGUAUUAGCUAGUAGGUGAGGUAACGGCUCACCUAGGCGACGAUACAUAGCCGACCUGAGAGGGUGAUCGGCCACACUGGGACUGAGACACGGCCCAGACUCCUACGGGAGGCAGCAGUAGGGAAUCUUCGGCAAUGGACGAAAGUCUGACCGAGCAACGCCGCGUGAGUGAAGAAGGUUUUCGGAUCGUAAAGCUCUGUUGUAAGAGAAGAACGGGUGUGAGAGUGGAAAGUUCACACUGUGACGGUAUCUUACCAGAAAGGGACGGCUAACUACGUG
RNAcentral lists this ribosomal RNA (505 nucleotides) under uncultured bacterium. Its description in RNAcentral is "partial 16S ribosomal RNA". It matches the Rfam family "Bacterial small subunit ribosomal RNA", at positions 28 to 507 of the family's 1533-position model. The record is from RNAcentral.